RNAcentral lists this long non-coding RNA (1246 nucleotides) under Olea europaea subsp. europaea. The record is from RNAcentral. Lineage: Eukaryota; Viridiplantae; Streptophyta; Magnoliopsida; Lamiales; Oleaceae.
GUUGGAACAAAGAACAUACUGAAAUUGUUAAAGCAUUAAAAGAAGAAUGUAAAAAUUUACCAAAAUUAAGAUUACCAGAUGAAAAAGAUAAUUUAAUUGUUAACACUGAUGCCUCGGAUAAAUAUUGGGCAGCUAUAUUAAAAACAGAUUUAAAUGAAAUAUGCAGAUAUUCAAGUGGAACUUUUAACCAAGCAGAAAUAAAUUAUACUACCCAUGAGAAAGAAUUGUUAGCAAUAAUUAGAGGAAUAAAAAAGUUUUCAUUAUUCCUUCUGUCCAAAAAAUUUAUUGUUGAAACUGAUAAUUCUCAAGUUGCAGGGCUUAUUAGAAAUAAGUUACCUAUGGAACCUCAAUAUAGAAGGUUACACAGAUGGCAAGCAUACUUAUCAUUCUAUAAUUUUGAUAUUAUUCAUAUUAAAGGAAUAAAUAACUAUCUUGCAGAUUUUUUGAGCAGGAACAUCGAAUUUGGAGAUGGAUAAUAUCAAAAAUUCAUUAAUAGACGUCAACAGACGAAUGAAAUUCCUCAUGGAAGAAUCUGAAGAUAUGAAAAUUGGAAUUGAGCAAUUAGAAGAAAUGGCAGAAUCUAUCCAACAAAAUGUCAAAUUGUUGGUGGAAAUCUCUAAUUCUCAUUCCAAAUAUACCAAAGAAUUGAAUGACAGAAUUGUUGAUAUUACUUCACAAUUUGAGUCAUUAGAUACCAAACAGGAAAUACCAAUUGAUACAAUCUCAAAAAUACAAACAGGUACACAGCCAGGAAGCAGCAGUGGACCCAGCAAUAUCAAACGAGAUAUAGUAAGUCCCCGGAAGGUGACUAUAAAAAAUGGUGAUGAGCAUACAAGAGUUAUAAGAAUCAAAACUGAUGAAGAUGAUGAUACCCCUUUGUCAUCAAAAGAAGAAGAAUAUAGAUCAUUUGCCAAAAUUGUUUAUGAAUUGGAAGAAAAUGAAUCUUAUUUUAUUUCAUCAGGGGAUCAUGUUUAUCCCAGAUUAAUAAUUACCAAAGAUGCAGACCCUUUCAUGGUCAAAAUGACAGCAGAUUAUGGAUUUCUGGAUUUGAUCUAUCCAGGAAAAGAUUUAAAAGAAAUUGAAAAAUUUGAUGAUAUAUUCAGGGCAGAAGUUUCAAAAUUUGCCCAAGGGAGAUCGAUUUAUAUCAAAUUUUAUUCAAUAAGUCCUGAAAUUGAUGGAAGGAUAUACUAUCCUGCUGAACAUAUUAUUACAAUUGGAUAUGUUGGCCGAGAUUUCCAGAUUGAAG